Molecule: ribosomal RNA, 833 nt
Filed under: Vibrio vulnificus
Lineage: Bacteria; Pseudomonadati; Pseudomonadota; Gammaproteobacteria; Vibrionales; Vibrionaceae
Description: partial 23S ribosomal RNA
Rfam family: Bacterial large subunit ribosomal RNA
Source: RNAcentral
AGUAGGGCGGGACACGUGUUAUCCUGUCUGAAUAUGGGGGGACCAUCCUCCAAGGCUAAAUACUCCUGACUGACCGAUAGUGAACCAGUACCGUGAGGGAAAGGCGAAAAGAACCCCUGUGAGGGGAGUGAAAUAGAACCUGAAACCGUGUACGUACAAGCAGUAGGAGCACCUUCGUGGUGUGACUGCGUACCUUUUGUAUAAUGGGUCAGCGACUUAUAUUCAGUGGCAAGGUUAACCAUCUAGGGGAGCCGUAGGGAAACCGAGUCUUAACUGGGCGCCAUAGUCUCUGGAUAUAGACCCGAAACCGAGUGAUCUAGCCAUGGGCAGGUUGAAGGUUGAGUAACAUCAACUGGAGGACCGAACCGACUAAUGUUGAAAAAUUAGCGGAUGACUUGUGGCUAGGGGUGAAAGGCCAAUCAAACUCGGAGAUAGCUGGUUCUCCCCGAAAGCUAUUUAGGUAGCGCCUCGGACGAAUACUACUGGGGGUAGAGCACUGUUAAGGCUAGGGGGUCAUCCCGACUUACCAACCCUUUGCAAACUCCGAAUACCAGUAAGUACUAUCCGGGAGACACACGGCGGGUGCUAACGUCCGUCGUGGAGAGGGAAACAACCCAGACCGCCAGCUAAGGUCCCAAAUUACAGCUAAGUGGGAAACGAUGUGGGAAGGCUUAGACAGCUAGGAUGUUGGCUUAGAAGCAGCCAUCAUUUAAAGAAAGCGUAAUAGCUCACUAGUCGAGUCGGCCUGCGCGGAAGAUGUAACGGGGCUAAGUUGUAAACCGAAGCUGCGGCAAUGUUCUAUGAACAUUGGGUAGGGGAGCGUUCUGUAAGCC